AGGACGAACGCUGGCGGCGUGCUUAACACAUGCAAGUCGAACGGUGAAGCCUUUCGGGGUGGAUCAGUGGCGAACGGGUGAGUAACACGUGGGCAAUCUGCCCUGCAUUCUGGGACAAGCCUUGGAAACGAGGUCUAAUACCGGAUACGACACAUCCCCGCAUGGGGUGUGCGUGGAAAGCUCCGGCGAUGCAGGAUGAGCCCGCGGCCUAUCAGCUUGUUGGUGGGGUGAUGGCCUACCAAGGCGACGACGGGUA
This 256-nucleotide ribosomal RNA is filed under the name uncultured bacterium. RNAcentral's name for it is "partial small subunit ribosomal RNA". It matches the Rfam family "Bacterial small subunit ribosomal RNA", at positions 26 to 285 of the family's 1533-position model. The record is from RNAcentral.